Molecule: non-coding RNA, 45 nt
Filed under: Schistosoma curassoni
Lineage: Eukaryota; Metazoa; Platyhelminthes; Trematoda; Strigeidida; Schistosomatidae
Source: RNAcentral
AUCCGGCUGAAGAGUCCUAAAUGGGACGAAACGCGCGUCCUGGAU